GCAUCCAUGGCUGAGUGGUCGAAAGCAUUGGACUCAUAAUCCAAAUUCCAUUAGGAACAUCGUUGGUUCAAGUCCAACUGGAUGCA
RNAcentral lists this transfer RNA (86 nucleotides) under Picocystis salinarum. RNAcentral describes it as "tRNA-Ile". It matches the Rfam family "tRNA". From Rfam's summary of the family: Transfer RNA (tRNA) molecules are approximately 80 nucleotides in length. Lineage: Eukaryota; Viridiplantae; Chlorophyta; Picocystophyceae; Picocystales; Picocystaceae. The record is from RNAcentral.